GACGAACGCUGGCGGCGUGCUUAACACAUGCAAGUCGAACGGAAAGGCCCUGCUUUUGUGGGGUGCUCGAGUGGCGAACGGGUGAGUAACACGUGAGUAACCUGCCCUUGACUUUGGGAUAACUUCAGGAAACUGGGGCUAAUACCGGAUAGGAGCUCCUGCUGCAUGGUGGGGGUUGGAAAGUUUCGGCGGUUGGGGAUGGACUCGCGGCUUAUCAGCUUGUUGGGGGGGUAGUGGCUUACCAAGGCUUUGACGGGUAGCCGGCCUGAGCGGGUGACCGGCCACAUUGGGACUGAGAUACGGCCCAGACUCCUACGGGAGGCAGCAGUGGGGAAUCUUGCACAAUGGGCGGAAGCCUGAUGCAGCAACGCCGCGUGCGGGAUGACGGCCUUCGGGUUGUAAACCACUUUCGCCUGUGACGAAGCGUGAGUGACGGUAAUGGGUAAAGAAGCACCGGCUAACUACGUG
This 468-nucleotide ribosomal RNA is filed under the name uncultured bacterium. Its description in RNAcentral is "partial 16S ribosomal RNA". It matches the Rfam family "Bacterial small subunit ribosomal RNA", at positions 28 to 507 of the family's 1533-position model. The record is from RNAcentral.